GACGAACGCUGGCGGCGUGCUUAACACAUGCAAGUCGAACGGAAAGGCCCUGCUUUUGUGUGUUGCUCGAGUGGCGAACGGGUGAGUAACACGUGAGUAACCUGCCCUUGACUUUGUUAUAACUUCAGGAAACUGGUGCUAAUACCGGAUAGGAUCUCCUGCUGCAUGUUGGGGGUUGGAAAGUUUCGGCGGUUGGGGAUGUACUCGCGGCUUAUCAGCUUGUUGGUGGGGUAGUGGCUUACCAAGGGUUUGACGGGUAGCCGGCCUGAGAGGGUGACCGGCGAAAAUGGGACUGAGAUACGGCACAGAAUCCAACGGGAGGCAGAAGUGGGGAAUAUUGCAGAAUGGGCGGAAGCCUGAUGAAGAAACGCAGCGUGCGGGAUGACGGCCUUCGGGUUGUAAAAAGAUUUAGAAUGUGAAGAAGAGUGAGUGACGGUAAUGGGUAAAGAAGCACCGGCUAACUACGUG
RNAcentral lists this ribosomal RNA (468 nucleotides) under uncultured bacterium. RNAcentral's name for it is "partial 16S ribosomal RNA". It matches the Rfam family "Bacterial small subunit ribosomal RNA", at positions 28 to 507 of the family's 1533-position model. The record is from RNAcentral.